RNAcentral lists this ribosomal RNA (492 nucleotides) under uncultured bacterium. Its description in RNAcentral is "partial 16S ribosomal RNA". It matches the Rfam family "Bacterial small subunit ribosomal RNA", at positions 29 to 507 of the family's 1533-position model. The record is from RNAcentral.
AGUGAACGCUGGCGGUAGGCCUAACACAUGCAAGUCGAACGGCAGCACAGUAAGAGCUUGCUCUUACGGGUGGCGAGUGGCGGACGGGUGAGGAAUACAUCGGAAUCUACUUUUUCGUGGGGGAUAACGUAGGGAAACUUACGCUAAUACCGCAUACGACCUACGGGUGAAAGCAGGAGAUCUUCGGACCUUGCGCGAUUGAAUGAGCCGAUGUCGGAUUAGCUAGUUGGCGGGGUAAAGGCCCACCAAGGCGACGAUCCGUAGCUGGUCUGAGAGGAUGAUCAGCCACACUGGAACUGAGACACGGUCCAGACUCCUACGGGAGGCAGCAGUGGGGAAUAUUGGACAAUGGGCGCAAGCCUGAUCCAGCUAUACCGCGUGGGUGAAGAAGGCCUUCGGGUUGUAAAGCCCUUUUGUUGGGAAAGAAAAGCAGCAGGUUAAUACCCCGCUGUUCUGACGGUACCCAAAGAAUAGGCACCGGCUAACUUCGUG